CCUACGGGGGGCUGCAGUGGGGAAUAUUGCACAAUGGGGGAAACCCUGAUGCAGCAACGCCGCGUGAGCGAUGAAGGCCUUCGGGUCGUAAAGCUCUGUCCUAAGGGAAGAAUAAUGACGGUACCUGACUAAGAAGCCCCGGCUAACUACGUGCCAGCAGCCGCGGUAAUACGUAGGGGGCAAGCGUUAUCCGGAAUCACUGGGUGUAAAGGGUGCGUAGGCGGUAGGGCAAGUCAGAUGUGAAAGCCCGGGGCUCAACCCCGGGACUGCAUUUGAAACUGUCUUACUAGAGUGCAGGAGAGGAGAGUGGAAUUCCCAGUGUAGCGGUGAAAUGCGUAGAUAUUGGGAGGAACACCAGUGGCGAAGGCGGCUUUCUGGACUGUAACUGACGCUGAGGCACGAAAGCGUGGGGAGCGAACAGGAUUAGAUACCCGAGUAGUC
RNAcentral lists this ribosomal RNA (441 nucleotides) under uncultured bacterium. Its description in RNAcentral is "bacterial SSU rRNA". It matches the Rfam family "Bacterial small subunit ribosomal RNA", at positions 338 to 795 of the family's 1533-position model. The record is from RNAcentral.